GGUUCCGUAGCUCAAUCGGGAGAGUGCUUGCUUGUCACGCAAGAGGUAGCGAGAUCGAAACUCGUCGGAACCGCCA
Molecule: transfer RNA, 76 nt
Filed under: Paenibacillus polymyxa
Lineage: Bacteria; Bacillati; Bacillota; Bacilli; Caryophanales; Paenibacillaceae
Also listed under: 1 other name
Description: tRNA-Asp
Rfam family: tRNA
About the family: Transfer RNA (tRNA) molecules are approximately 80 nucleotides in length. Their secondary structure includes four short double-helical elements and three loops (D, anti-codon, and T loops).
Source: RNAcentral